Rattus norvegicus (Norway rat) is the source of this 69-nucleotide non-coding RNA. Lineage: Eukaryota; Metazoa; Chordata; Mammalia; Rodentia; Muridae. The record is from Rfam.
GGGGAUUUAGCUCAGUGGUAGAGUGCUUGCCUAGCAAGCACAAGGCCCUGGGUUCGGUUCCCAGCUCCG